ACCCGCUGAACUUAAGCAUAUCAAUAAGCGGAGGAAAAGAAACCAACAGGGAUUGCCUCAGUAACGGCGAGUGAAGCGGCAAGAGCUCAAAUUUAAAAGCCGACGUAGCUUUAAGAGACGUCCGCAUUGUAAUUUGAAGAGGCAUUCUCGGGUCGGGGCUCAGGCCUAAGUUCCUUGGAAGAGGGCGUCGUGGAGGGUGAGAACCCCGUUCGCGGCCUGCUGUCGACCUUUCCCCGAUCCACACGAGGUGCCAUCGAAGAGUCGAGUUGUUUUGGGAAUGCAGCUCAAAGCGGGUGGUAAAUUCCCAUCUAAAGCUAAUAUUGACGGGAGACCGAUAGCGACAAAGUAGAGUGAUCGAAAGAUGAAAAGCACUUGGAAAGAGAGUUAAACAGCACGUGAAAUUGUUGAAAGGGAAGCGCUUGAGACCAGUCACGGACCGAGGCGAUCAGUGGGACGUCCCUCUCGGGGGAGGAACCGCGCACUCGCUUUUCGGGUUUUCCGGGUCAACAUCGGUUGGGACGGUGUCAGAAAGGUCGCGGGAACGUGGCUCCCUUCACGGGGAGUGUUAUAGCCCGUGGCGUCAAAGUCGCCAGUUUCGACCGAGGACCGCGCUCGUCUUUUUCGAGCAAGGAUGUUGACGUAAUGGUCCC
This 650-nucleotide ribosomal RNA is filed under the name uncultured fungus. Its description in RNAcentral is "eukaryotic LSU rRNA". It matches the Rfam family "Eukaryotic large subunit ribosomal RNA", at positions 23 to 641 of the family's 3401-position model. Lineage: Eukaryota; Fungi. The record is from RNAcentral.